UUUAUGUUGAAUAUUUUUUCUUCUAUGCAAUUGAUGGAGUGAAAUGAAAUGGAAUGGAAUCUUCUUAGAACAUCAUAAACUCACCCAAAGACGUUUCUUCUCAUGAGGUUAUAAAUUUCUAAACUCGCAUGCAUCUAUAAAUCCGUCCAACAGAUCGAAGAAGAACGCGUGACCCAUCUUCAAAUCAUGGUUCUUAUUUCUCUCUUAAUAUUGGGUUUUAUUUUUCGUUAUCAAAAGGUAAACCCUAGAUUUCUGAUUCACAUUUUUUUUAGUAGCUAUUGAUUUGGCAUAUUUACAACACCCAUCCCCUGAAGUUUAACAUCACUGUCUUAUGUAUUGUGUUGCUUUCGGAAUUUAUUUAGUUUAAUCUUGGUAAUUUUUCUUUUUCCCUAUGAUUUACAAAAUCUUUAGAAAUCUAAAAUAUGGAAUGGUUUUGACUGAAUCUGGGAGAAUUGAAACUGUAUAUCCAUAAACAGGCAAACUGCAACAUACUGCAAAUCUAGCGGCAAUUUAAGCUUCACAAGGUAUUCAAUUUGGUUUGGAUUUCUUCUUUUUGGUCUACAUUUUCUCAAUUUAUUUUCUAAGUUGUGGGUUCAAUUGUUCGUUUUAGUGUUAUAUCGGUAUUCUAGGUUUGUUAUUGCAACAAUUGCAUUGGAUUUAAAGAGAAGUAAAUAUUCUCAUUUUUGAUACAUGCAUUUGGCGGGGAAGUGGUUCAAGCCUUCAAGGAUUAGGUCACUAUGGGUUUAUUUACAAAUGGCUACUAAGGGUGGGGGACAAAAUGGCGUCAAUAUCACAAGCUAAUUGGGUUGACUUUACCUUUUUUUUAAACAAAACUGGGGUCUUUCAAAUUCUAAAAUGCACUCAGGAUUUCAACUGAAUUAGAGAGAGGUGUACAACAACUGCUACUAUGUAAGACUGGAUAUGUGAAAACAAUCAACCCUCUCAUAGGUCCGCGCCAAUACUAAUGGCAUUAUAAUUUUGAUUUUGGAAUGGUGAUGCUUUUGUAUGUGGCUUAGAGCUCUAAUUGUACACAUGUUCUACUGCCAUCCGACGCAAAGGGACACAAUUUUCUAAAGCAGUGGAAGGGUAAUGCAACUUUUGGUGCAACAAGUGUACGUCUAAAUUUGUUAUGUACUUAAUGUGUAAUCUCUUCAACGAUUCUUCCUUUGUUAUAUUUUCUUAAUCAUGAAAUUGUCGCCACUUUUUCUUUCUA
Molecule: long non-coding RNA, 1213 nt
Organism: Papaver somniferum (opium poppy)
Lineage: Eukaryota; Viridiplantae; Streptophyta; Magnoliopsida; Ranunculales; Papaveraceae
Exons: 3
Source: RefSeq, a predicted model, not a curated record